This is an RNA transcript of Chiroxiphia lanceolata (lance-tailed manakin), 3219 nucleotides long. It is a transcript of the gene named SID1 transmembrane family member 2, with no coding region annotated. NCBI's taxonomy places the organism in Eukaryota, Metazoa, Chordata, Aves, Passeriformes, Pipridae. The record is from RefSeq and is a predicted model, not a curated record. The transcript has 28 exons.
CGGACCUUGGCCGGGGAUGCUGGCGGGAUGCCGGGCUCCGGAGCGGCCGCGCUGGCCUGGGCGCUGCUGGCCGGGGCACUGCUGCUGCUGCCCCCGCCGCCCGUCCUGCCCCAGCCCCAGCCCCACCGGCGGAACGUGAGCGAGACGGAAGCCCAGUUCAACACCACCUACACCGACUGGGUGGACGCCGACCUGCUCCACAUCUACGCCUUCAACCACAGCGUGCGCAGGAACACGACCGAGGGCGUGCGGGUGUCGGUGAACGUCCUCUCCGACCACAAGGACCUGCCUGUGCUCUUCGUAGUGAGGCAGAAGGAGGCGGUGGUCUCCUUCCAGGUGCCGCUCAUCCUCCGGGGUCUGUACCAGCGGAAAUACGCGUACCAGGAGGUGAGCCGGACACUCUGCCAGCCACAGACCAAGGCUGAGGUGGAGACCCAGCACUUCUACGUGGAUGUCUCCACGCUCUCCCUCAACGCCUCCUACCAGCUGCGGGUCACACGCGUGGAGAACUUUGUGCUGCGGACAAAUAAAAGGUUCAGCUUCAACGCCACGGCCGCCCAGCCACAGUACUUCAAGUAUGAGUUCCCUGAGGGAGUGGACUCGGUGAUUGUGAAGGUGACCUCGGCCAUGGCCUUCCCCUGCUCUGUCAUCUCCAUCCAGGACAUCCUGUGCCCUGUCUACGACCUGGACAACAACGUGGCCUUCAUCGGGAUGUACCAGACCAUGACGAAGAAGGCGGCCAUCACGGUGCAGAAGAAGGAUUUCCCCAGCCACAGCUUCUACGUGGUGGUGGUGGUGAAGACGGAGGAUGAGGCGUGUGGGGGGCCUCUGCCCUACUACCCCCUCUCCAAAAACUCCUCUCCAGAUGAACCUGUAGAUCAGCACAACCGGCAGAAGAUGCUGGAGGUGAUGGUGUCACCUGCCAUAACCUCGGAGGCCUACGUGAGCAGUGUACUCUUCUGCCUCAGCAUCUUCCUCUCCUUCUACGUCCUCACGCUGCUCAUCGCCUGCUGGGAGAGCUGCCGGCAGCACAAGAGGAAGGGGCUCCUGUCAGCCAUGGACUCGCCCAGCCUGGACACAGCGUCACUCCUGGGUCACUCCCGCAGCAUCCCCGACUCCUUCCUGGGCCGUGGUUACGACAGCUACGGUUACGGCUCCUUCGGGAACGGCUCCUCCAGCAGCACCGAGGGUGUCACGGACAGCCUGGGCUCCACAGAAGUCUCCUACAGUUACGUGGGGCAGGAGCAGUUCAAGCGGCGCACGCCCUCCGCCCCGACGAGGCCGCUGAGCAUUCCCAUGGGGGAGCGAUCCCUGGAGAACGUGGCCGGCCGGCCCCGCCUGGACUCGCUCAGCUCCGUCGAGGAGGACGACUACGACACCCUGGCUGACAUUGACUAUGACAAGAACGUCAUCCGCACCAAGAAAUACCUGUGUGUGGCCGACCUGGCGCGCAAGGACAAGCGGGUGCUGCGGAAGAAGUACCAGAUCUACUUCUGGAACAUCGCCACCAUCGCUGUCUUCUACGCCCUGCCCGUCAUCCAACUUGUCAUCACCUACCAGACAGUGGUGAACGUCACUGGCAACCAGGACAUCUGCUACUACAACUUCCUGUGUGCCCACCCGCUGGGGAACCUCAGCGCCUUCAACAACAUCCUCAGCAACCUGGGCUACAUCCUGCUGGGUUUGCUCUUCCUGCUCAUCAUCCUGCAGCGCGAGAUCAACUACAACCGGGCGCUCAUGCGCAACGACACCCACGCCCUGGAGUGCGGCAUCCCCAAGCACUUCGGGCUCUUCUACGCCAUGGGCACCGCGCUCAUGAUGGAGGGGCUGCUCAGCGCCUGCUACCACGUCUGCCCCAACUACACCAACUUCCAGUUCGACACCUCCUUCAUGUACAUGAUCGCGGGGCUCUGCAUGCUGAAACUGUACCAGAAGCGCCACCCAGACAUCAACGCCAGCGCCUACAGCGCCUACGCCUGCCUGGCCCUCGUCAUCUUCUUCUCCGUGGUCGGCGUGGUCUUCGGGAAGGGGAACACGGCCUUCUGGAUCGUCUUCUCUGUCAUCCACAUCUUGGCCACGCUGCUGCUGAGCACCCAGCUCUACUACAUGGGGCGCUGGAAGCUGGACUCGGGCAUCCUGCGCAGGAUCCUGCACGUGCUGUACACGGACUGCGUCCGGCAGUGCAGCGGGCCCAUGACCGAAUGGUGCUCCUGGUCAUGGGAAACAUCAUCAACUGGUCGCUCGCUGCCUACGGCCUCAUUGUCCGCCCCAAUGACUUCGCUUCCUACCUGCUGGCCAUCGGCAUCUGCAACCUCCUCCUCUACUUCGCCUUCUACAUCAUCAUGAAGCUCCGCAGCGGCGAGCGCAUCAAGCUCAUCCCCCUGCUCUGCAUCAUCAGCACCUCUGUGGUCUGGGGCUUUGCCCUCUUCUUCUUCUUCCAGGGGCUCAGCACCUGGCAGAAAACACCAGCGGAAUCUCGGGAGCACAACCGUGACUGCAUCCUGCUCGACUUCUUUGACGACCACGACAUCUGGCACUUUCUCUCCUCCAUCGCCAUGUUCGGCUCCUUCUUGGUGCUGCUGACACUGGACGAUGACCUGGACUGCAUCCAGCGGGACAAGAUCUACGUCUUCUAAGAGCCCACAGACGCUCCCUGGGACUGUGCCAAACACCCCGCUGCAGCCCCGGGAGGGGGGACCCACCCCCGGGGAGGGAUGUCCGUGCUGCAGGUCCUGCCAGCCGCUCCGUCCCCCUCCCCACGCAGCCUGGGGGUCCCGGUGCACCUCCUCCCUGUCAGCCAGGUCCUUCCAGGCACUACGUGCCCAUCCCUGGGCCUGUCGUGGCCAAAAACAGGGCUGGGGGGCCACCGGGGCGCCGUCCUCGGUGGCAAGUGACACUGGAAAAGGUGCUGCUGCUCCGUGUCCGUGUGCCCUUGGGCGCGGCGAGGGGAUUGUGGCCAGCGCUGUGCCAGCAGCCCCGCGGCCCCCCGAGCUCGUGGGUGUGGGUUUCUCUUCAGUGCCUGAGUCGUAUGGGUGGGAGGUGGGGGUGUGUGGGGCCAGCACGGUGGCGGCAGUGGCCGAGAGGCCCCACUCGUGUCUCCUGCAGUGUCCCAGGGGGGUGGCUGUGGCGGGCCCCCGUUGCCGCUCCCACCGAGGUGCCGCGCGCUGUCCGCGCGUGGAUCUGCUGGGAAGGGACUCGCAUUAAAGUGUCUGCACUUUG